UUGCACAAGAUCCUGUCAGUGUAUCUCAGUUCAUGCACAACACGUUGUCGCAAGUGACGCUGAAUCAGCUAGGCUGGUCAGUAAAAUAUUGACUCCUUUGACAUGGAGGAUCUCGGUAGCUACAGCUGUUGGUUCAUCAAUUGAAUCAGAUUCAGUUGUAUUGUGUCUGCCAACUGAUGAUGUGAGGCAGAACAGUAAUUGGAUACCAGAAAAUAUGAAUAACAGUGAGUUUUGGCCUCCUUCAGUGUUCUGGACGGAAGGUGUACCUCGCAAAGUGACUCUGUGCGAACAAAAGGAAAUAUAUAGAAAUAAUAUUUACAGCUAAACGUAUCCAAGUAUCUUAUAGGAAUGAAGUCAGGCCAUGGAAAUCCACACCUGUGAUGGAGAAACAUUGGAUCAAGGGACUUUGUGUGGAAACAACUAAGAGCGAAACCUGUAGCUGUGGCCUGCUUGGACUGCACGUGAUCUGAAGUACAGAAACCCAGAGCCAGACACGGGUCUGACAACUGGAAGCUGGAGUUAUGUUUUUAUGCUGUUUUUAUGUGAUGUUUGACCCUGUACUUGCAUGAUGUGUUUUAUCAUUGAUGUAAAUAGAAUAAACUUUGUACAUUUAUA
Molecule: long non-coding RNA, 615 nt
Organism: Acipenser ruthenus (sterlet)
Lineage: Eukaryota; Metazoa; Chordata; Actinopteri; Acipenseriformes; Acipenseridae
Exons: 2
Source: RefSeq, a predicted model, not a curated record